Molecule: non-coding RNA, 107 nt
Organism: Kickxella alabastrina
Lineage: Eukaryota; Fungi; Kickxellomycota; Kickxellomycetes; Kickxellales; Kickxellaceae
Source: the annotation of a RefSeq genome assembly
GCCUUCUUAGCUCAGGGGCAGAGCGUUGCACUCGUAUGUGUUUAAAGAUAAAAUAAUCUUCAUACAGAUUAAUGCAAAGGUCGUCAGUUCAAUUCUGGCAGCAGGCA